GAUGAACGCUGGCGGCGUGCCUAACACAUGCAAGUCGAGCGAUUCUCUUCGGAGAAGAGCGGCGGACGGGUGGAGUAACGCGUGGGUAACCUGCCCUGUACACACGGAUAACAUACCGAAAGGUAUGCUAAUACGAGAUGAUAUGCUUUUAUCGCAUGGUAGAAGUAUCAAAGCUUUUGCGGUACAGGAUGGACCCGCGUCUGAUUAGCUAGUUGGUAAGGUAACGGCUUACCAAGGCGACGAUCAGUAGCCGACCUGAGAGGGUGAUCGGCCACAUUGGAACUGAGACACGGUCCAAACUCCUACGGGAGGCAGCAGUGGGGAAUAUUGCACAAUGGGCGAAAGCCUGAUGCAGCAACGCCGCGUGAGCGAUGAAGGCCUUCGGGUCGUAAAGCUCUGUCCUCAAGGAAGAUAAUGACGGUACUUGAGGAGGAAGCCCCGGCUAACUACGUG
RNAcentral lists this ribosomal RNA (453 nucleotides) under uncultured bacterium. RNAcentral describes it as "bacterial SSU rRNA". It matches the Rfam family "Bacterial small subunit ribosomal RNA", at positions 28 to 507 of the family's 1533-position model. The record is from RNAcentral.